AGGGUUUGAUUAUGGCUCAGGAUGAACGCUGGCGGCGUGCCUAACACAUGCAAGUCGAACGAAGCGCCUUUUGAGAUUCUUCGGAUGAACAUUUGGUGACUGAGUGGCGGACGGGUGAGUAACGCGUGGGUAACCUGCCCUGUACAGGGGGAUAACAGCCAGAAAUGGCUGCUAAUACCGCAUAAGCGCACAUGAGGACAUCCUCAAGUGUGAAAAACUCCGGUGGUACAGGAUGGGCCCGCGUCUGAUUAGCUGGUUGGCGGGGUAACGGCCCACCAAGGCGACGAUCAGUAGCCGGUCUGAGAGGAUGAACGGCCACAUUGGAACUGAGACACGGUCCAA
Molecule: ribosomal RNA, 342 nt
Filed under: uncultured bacterium
Lineage: Bacteria
Description: bacterial SSU rRNA
Rfam family: Bacterial small subunit ribosomal RNA
Source: RNAcentral